RNAcentral lists this ribosomal RNA (253 nucleotides) under uncultured bacterium. RNAcentral describes it as "partial 16S ribosomal RNA". It matches the Rfam family "Bacterial small subunit ribosomal RNA", at positions 524 to 776 of the family's 1533-position model. The record is from RNAcentral.
UACGUAGGGUGCAAGCGUUAAUCGGAAUUACUGGGCGUAAAGCGUGCGCAGGCGGUUUUGUAAGUCUGUCGUGAAAUCCCCGGGCUUAACCUGGGAAUGGCAUUUGGGACUGCAAGGCUUGAGUGCGGCAGAGGAGACUGGAAUUCCUGGUGUAGCAGUGAAAUGCGUAGAUAUCAGGAGGAACACCGAUGGCGAAGGCAGGUCUCUGGGCUGACACUGACGCUCAUGCACGAAAGCGUGGGGAGCAAACAGG